RNAcentral lists this unclassified non-coding RNA (549 nucleotides) under Hevea brasiliensis (rubber tree). The record is from RNAcentral. Lineage: Eukaryota; Viridiplantae; Streptophyta; Magnoliopsida; Malpighiales; Euphorbiaceae.
GACCCACUCUUGGGUAAGUCGUUAUUACCUGUUCAUUUAUGGUUUCUUCUUCGAAAUUCUUCUUAUUUAAUCAUGAACUCCCAUUUUGUAUAUUUCAUUAAAUAUUGUAGCUUUUAAAUAGUUAUUUGUUUCUCAAAAGAAUUUUACUUUUUUUCUAUUUUAAACAAAAUAUAAGAUGACAUUGCUGGAAAGCAUGGAAAAAUUAGGUGUCUUGAGGUUAUGGCUUUAACUUUUCUGGUCAUAGUUAAGCGAUAUGUUGAAGCAGGCUCAAUCUAGUUAGUUAAUGAAUCAUCGGGAGUAUUGAUUUUGUUGAAAGAUGUAUUCUGUCACAUCUAUUAAUGGUUAUGAAAUUUCAAUAUGUAAUGCUCAUACCUAAUUAAAAAGAAAAAUGAGUGUGAUACUUCAACACUUUUGGCUUGUGUUUGUAACACAAAGGGAUAUGGUAGGAAUUAAGUAAAUAUAUCUCCAAUAUAUCGACUUCUAUUUUAUACUUCCAUGAAAUUUUUUGCCUCUAACUUGUUGUCUAUGUACAGUGGCACGCGGAUUAAG